Molecule: ribosomal RNA, 465 nt
Filed under: uncultured bacterium
Lineage: Bacteria
Description: partial 16S ribosomal RNA
Rfam family: Bacterial small subunit ribosomal RNA
Source: RNAcentral
GACGAACGCUGGCGGCGUGCUUAACACAUGCAAGUCGUACGGUAAGGCCCUUUCGGGGGUACACGAGUGGCUAACGGGUGAGUAACACGUGAGUAACCUGCCCACCACUUCGGGAUAACGCUAGGAAACUGGUGCUAAUACUGGAUAUGUGCUCCUGCUGUAUGGUCGGGGUUGGAAAGCUCCGGCGGUUGUGGAUGGACUCGCGGCCUAUCAGCUUGUUGGUGGGGUAGUGGCCUACCAAGGCGGCGACGGGUAGCCGGCCUGAGAGGGUGACCGGCCACAAUGGGACUGAGAUACGGCCUAGUCUCCUACGGGAGGCAGCAGUGGGGAAUAUUGCACAAUGGGCGCAAGCCUGAUGCAACAACGCCGCGGUCGGGAUGACGUCCUUCGGGUUGUGAACCGCUUUCAGCAGAGACGAAGCAUUUUGUGACGGUACCUGCAGAAGAAGCACCGGCUAACUACGUG